AUGAACGCUGGCGGCGUGCCUAAUACAUGCAAGUCGAGCGAACGGACGAGAAGCUUGCUUUUCUGAUGUUAGCGGCGGACGGGUGAGUAACACGUGGAUAACCUACCUAUAAGACUGGGAUAACUUCGGGAAACCGGAGCUAAUAUCGGAUAAUAUUUUGAACCGCAUGGUUCAAAAGUGAAAGACGGUCUUGCUGUCACUUAUAGAUGGAUCCGCGCUGCAUUAGCUAGUUGGUAAGGUAACGGCUUACCAAGGCAACGAUGCAUAGCCGACCUGAGAGGGUGAUCGGCCACACUGGAACUGAGACACGGUCCAGACUCCUACGGGAGGCAGCAGUAGGGAAUCUUCCGCAAUGGGCGAAAGCCUGACGGAGCAACGCCGCGUGAGUGAUGAAGGUCUUCGGAUCGUAAAACUCUGUUAUUAGGGAAGAACAUAUGUGUAAGUAACUGUGCACAUCUUGACGGUACCUAAUCAGAAAGCCACGGCUAACUGCGUG
RNAcentral lists this ribosomal RNA (496 nucleotides) under uncultured bacterium. RNAcentral's name for it is "partial 16S ribosomal RNA". It matches the Rfam family "Bacterial small subunit ribosomal RNA", at positions 29 to 507 of the family's 1533-position model. The record is from RNAcentral.